CCUCUGAGGAAGCACAGUUCCCGCUCAGCCCAGUCAAAACUGUUCGCUGCUCUGGCACCCCAAUGGUGGAACAAGCUCCCUCACGACGCCAGGACAGCGGAGUCAAUCACCACCUUCCGGAGACACCUGAAACCCCACCUCUUCAAGGAAUACCUGGGAUAGGAUAAAGUAAUCCUUCUAACCCCCCCCUUAAAAGAUUUAGAUGCACUAUUGUAAAGUGGUUGUUCCACUGGAUAUUAUAGGUGAAUGCACCAAUUUGUAAGUCGCUCUGGAUAAGAGCGUCUGCUAAAUGACUAAAAUGUAAAAUGUAAAUGCAGGAAUGGCUUCGGGACAAGUCUGUGAAUGUCUUUGAGUAGCCCAACCAGAGCCCAGACCCAAUCGAACAUCUCUGGAGAGACCAGAAUAUAGUUGUGCAGCAACGCUCCCCAUCCAACCUGACAGAGCUUGAGAGGAUCUGCAGAGAAGAAUGGGAGAAACUCCCCAAAUACAGGUGUGCCAAGCUUGUAGCGUCAUACCCAAGAAGAUUUGAGGCUGUAAUUGCUGCCAAAGUGUCGUGUAAACCCAUGUGGGCUGGGCAAUCAUAUAAAUCAAUCAUCACAUUUGAAAAUACAGUACAACCCCAAUCAAAGUGUGAUCCCUGCUUUGAGAAGGUUCUGGAAGAGGUGACCCGCUACACCCCUCGCUACAUGGAGGAGAUGGAGUUCAUAUUUGACCAACCACAGGAGGAAAAGAGGAAUAGUAUCAGCAAUGAUGGACAUCAUCAACAAUGAGAGUGUGAAGUCUGUGUAUAAUGAGCUCCACAACACUCUCAUUGCCAUUAAUGAGCAGGACAAACUGCACUGGUGGAAGAACAUCCACAGACCGGGCAUGCCCACUGACUGACCUCACUUGCAGGAGUGGGCACCAGAAAAGAAAAGAAAAAAAGGAAAGAAAGAAAAAAAAAGAAAGAGUCUAAUGGCUGGGAUGCCAGUGACACGUUCAACUAGGAGAUGUACAGAGUUAACUCCAUCUGUGGCUUCUUCUCCAUGUACACUGUUCCUCUGGAGAGGACUGCCUCGGAUGAAUGAGACAGAAGGCAGCCCCCCAAUACCACCACCUCGUCUCACUGAAGAACAAUGAAGGCAAGACUGAGGAGUACAAGUACAGUACCAUGGUCUAAGUGAGAGAGUAGACAUGAAUGAGUAGUGCCGAGGGCAGGUGGGUCACGAGAGAAAUCAGACAUACACUAAUACAUGAUCACAUACAAACAUGUAACAAAGUGCCCUAAGCUCACUCUACAGCUAGCUUGAAAUGUUGCGGUUGAAGUCAUCCAAUUGUUACCUUUUGGGUGGCACAAACCAUUGGCACAUUGUCAAGGAGGAAGGUCACGUGUGUUUGCGAGC
This 1382-nucleotide long non-coding RNA is filed under the name Salmo salar (Atlantic salmon). RNAcentral describes it as "lncRNA (ENSSSAG00000112122.1, ENSSSAG00020074593.1)". The stretch from base 246 to 299 matches the Rfam family "UnaL2 LINE 3' element". The record is from RNAcentral. Lineage: Eukaryota; Metazoa; Chordata; Actinopteri; Salmoniformes; Salmonidae.